Anopheles stephensi (Asian malaria mosquito) is the source of this 1531-nucleotide RNA transcript. RefSeq lists it as uncharacterized. The transcript is spliced from 7 exons. Lineage: Eukaryota; Metazoa; Arthropoda; Insecta; Diptera; Culicidae. The record is from RefSeq and is a predicted model, not a curated record.
GGAAGGCAGUCACUGUUUACACGCGGUUUGAGAAUGACGGGGUUUUGUGCGAAGAACGAGUUUCGGCGGAAUAAACGUGAACAAAAUGCAAUAGACCUUGUUAAUAUCGAAUUGGACUACGAUCUUCUGUGCGCUUUACGGCCUUCAUCAUGUUACGCUGUUGAAGUAGUAACUGGCAAAGGCAAUCAAUAAAGAAGAGUUGAUAACAGACAAAAAACACUCUCCUUUCUAUGGUACCAGCCAACAAUGCGAAACGGGAAACCAUCCACCACAUGUUUCGGGUUUCGAAUUCGAUUUCCUCCAUCACCAUUUCGGGGCCGCUUUUGUCCAUCGUCUGUUUUCAUUCGGUACGAUGAACAAAAACUGCUCAUCUUCCGCUGAACGGCACCAAGGCAGCCAGCAGAAGAGAAAACCAACACCAGAAACCCCAAUAGUGACUUCGAUCCAUUAGAAAAAUUGAUGAGCUUUUCAUUGUUUCCUCGGAGCCAGAUCAUUGGCGGUGUUUUAGGACGGAAUAGGAAAUGAAAUCCCCAGUAACGGAGACACAGAAACCCCUGCUACGGUAAGAUAUCGGUGCACAGAAGACUACUGCUUGAUAAGUCUCGUCGAUUGAUGCCGACGAUUACGUGCAAAGUAUACAAACGACCAUUACAUCCACCCGAAAGAUCCGGUGUCAUGCAUUUACGGAAGGGUUGGUUGGGGAAAGCGUACGGUGCGGGAAGCAGAAAGGUUUCCCCGAUUGAUGCUCUACCUUACCAACUAACAUGCAAAGAGGUGUUCUUGCAGAAACCAACAUCAGGUUCCUUUCCAGCAAUCGGCACAGUGAAAUCUUUAUUACGAUGAAAAUUGUAUUGAAGCUAGUAGUGGAGUAUAUUACUGUUACUACGAAAACAAAUCAGUAACGAGAUCCGCCGCUGGUGAACCGAUGACGCAAAGGAUGAUCGAUUCAAAAUCUUUCACACAUGAGUCGUUGGGUCGAUUCAAAACUUCACGUCCGGUAUGCUAUUGUCACACAGGCUCAAUAAUUUUUUUUGGCUACCGAAGAAUCGCAGAACCACGAGAACCUUCAUUGGACAGCUGAGGACAGUUCCGAUCAUCCUUCUACCCUUUUGGGUGGGUGUUUCGCGAAGGAUUCAAAACAUUGCCCUGGACACUGAAAAGAAUGAAAAUACUUUUAUCGAAUGAUUAUGGCAGGUGCCGCUGUCUUACGAUGGCUUAAUUGGUACUGAUGAUUUGCGAACAAGGACCUUUAACAGUUUUUGCUACUCGUUUUAUCAGUUCUUCAUAGAUACUCAUAUUUUAUCCAUUUCAGAAAUAGAUAGCGGUAUGAGGAGGCUUUCGAUUCUAUCCUUUUUUUGUAAAUAUUGCCUGGCACAAAAACAAAGAAAAAGGGGCAAAUUAUACAUUUGUCGGUGCAGAUAAUGCAAAAAUGUUUGAGUGUACGUAUAAUAUUUUUCAUUAAUUUUUAUUUUAAGAUAAAAAUAAACCUGACAAUACGGCAUCUGUCUGUAGUAAUUAAUAAAUAAAUAAA